This 797-nucleotide long non-coding RNA is filed under the name Marmota monax (woodchuck). Lineage: Eukaryota; Metazoa; Chordata; Mammalia; Rodentia; Sciuridae. The record is from RNAcentral.
GGAAGCUUUUCUCAGACAUAAGCCAGUCCAGAGGGGGAAUCUGCUGAGCCACGCCCUACUCCUUCCCCUUUGUACCAGAGUUAAUCUCUCUUUGGUUCUUGCUCUGAUUUUAGUAGGGGUAUAAGAAAUAGUUAAUACAGCUGUUUCUCUUUAAAAGGAAGAAAGUGAUUGAAACUUGAAAAGCACCUGCAGAUGCAUUAGGUUCACAUAGCUAAGGCCUCUGUCAUCAGUUACUAGUUGCCUUCUUCCCCCCAGUCCUGCUCUCCAGAUGAGACCUUUUUUGGGGGGGGGGCAGUAUUGGGGAUUGAACCCAGAAGUACUUAACCACUGAGUUAAUGUCCCCCACCCAUUUUUACAUUUUAUUUAGAGUUGCUUAGGGCUUCGCUAAGUUACUGAGGCUGCUUUUUUUAAAAAAAUUGUUCAAAACAUUACAAAGAUCUUGACAUAUUUCAUACAUUUGAUUCAAGUGGGUUAUGAACUCCCAUUUUUACCCCAUAUACAGAUUGCAGAAUCACAUCGGUUACACAUCCACGUUUGAGGCUGCUUUUGAACUCAAGAUCUCUGGCCUUGGCUUCCUGAGUCAUUAGAAUUGCAAGCAUGCCUCACCGUGCGUAGCCACAGAGGAAACAUGGAGUGAGGUCUCAACAUCCUUCCAAGUGCCAUAUAUAGUAAAACCAGAUGUAGCUCCCUACCCUAGUAAAACAAUUUAAAAGUCAUAAAGUGAAAUUGUACCUUGUGUACAAUUUUACAAUCAAUGACUUAGGUAAAAAACUACUGUCAACUUAUACUUGAAACUA